CCAACACGUCUAUCCCUUGCAGAACCCGGCACGUCCUCAGAGCAACAGGUGAUCACGCAGCUGUCAGGCCCGACGGAGGUGCAAUAUGGCGAAUCAGCUGUUUUCACCUGCAACGUCAGACCUGCUUGGCCAGUCAAGGUGACGUGGCUCAAGGACGGCGCCGAGAUCCCCGCGACGACCCGGGUCUUCACGCAGAAGGUGCAGCGCGUGGCGGCCGAGGACGGGGGCGGCGAGCUCCUGCAGGCGACGCUGACCGUGGACUCCGUCAGGACCAACAAGACCUUCACCUGCCGGAUCGAGACGGAGCCGGCGGAGGAGCGGAGCGUCAGCGUCGUCGUUAGAGUGGCCCGCGUGCAGUCGCUGAGGCGGAACCUGACCCAAGGACACG
Molecule: non-coding RNA, 388 nt
Organism: Penaeus vannamei (Pacific white shrimp)
Lineage: Eukaryota; Metazoa; Arthropoda; Malacostraca; Decapoda; Penaeidae
Source: RefSeq, a predicted model, not a curated record